CCACUGCUGACGAGUCCCAAACAGAACGAAACAGCUGUCCAGUUC
Echinostoma caproni is the source of this 45-nucleotide non-coding RNA. The record is from Rfam. NCBI's taxonomy places the organism in Eukaryota, Metazoa, Platyhelminthes, Trematoda, Plagiorchiida, Echinostomatidae.